GAUGAAGAACGUAGCAAAAUGCGAUAAGUAAUGUGAAUUGCAGAAUUCAGUGAAUCAUCGAAUCUUUGAACGCACAUUGCGCCCGCCAGUAUUCUGGCGGGCAUGCCUGUUCGAGCGUCAUUUCAACCCUCAAGCCCUCGGGUUUGGUGUUGGGGAUCGGCGAGCCUUUCUGGCAAGCCGGCCCCGAAAUCUAGUGGCGGUCUCGCUGCAGCCUCCAUUGCGUAGUAGUAAAACCCUCGCAACUGGAACGCGGCGCGGCCAAGCCGUUAAACCCCCAACUUCUGAAUGUUGACCUCGGAACAGGUAGGAAUACCCGCUGAACUUAAGCAUAUCAAUAAGCGGAGGA
Molecule: unclassified non-coding RNA, 346 nt
Filed under: soil metagenome
Description: partial contains 5.8S ribosomal RNA, internal transcribed spacer 2, and large subunit ribosomal RNA
Rfam family: 5.8S ribosomal RNA (bases 1-120)
Source: RNAcentral